This 73-nucleotide transfer RNA is filed under the name Camelus bactrianus (Bactrian camel). It matches the Rfam family "tRNA". From Rfam's summary of the family: Transfer RNA (tRNA) molecules are approximately 80 nucleotides in length. Their secondary structure includes four short double-helical elements and three loops (D, anti-codon, and T loops). Further hydrogen bonds mediate the characteristic L-shaped molecular structure. tRNAs have two regions of fundamental functional importance: the anti-codon, which is responsible for specific mRNA codon recognition, and the 3' end, to which the tRNAs corresponding amino acid is attached (by aminoacyl-tRNA synthetases). tRNAs cope with the degeneracy of the genetic code in two manners: having more than one tRNA (with a specific anti-codon) for a particular amino acid; and 'wobble' base-pairing, i.e. permitting non-standard base-pairing at the 3rd anti-codon position. The record is from Rfam by way of RNAcentral. RNAcentral also lists the same sequence under 1 other name. Lineage: Eukaryota; Metazoa; Chordata; Mammalia; Artiodactyla; Camelidae.
GAGGGUAUAGCUCAAGUGGUAGAGCGCAUGCUUAGCACGCAUGAGGUCCUGGGUUCAAUCCCCAGUACCUCCU